RNAcentral lists this ribosomal RNA (709 nucleotides) under bacterium KW-45. RNAcentral describes it as "bacterial SSU rRNA". It matches the Rfam family "Bacterial small subunit ribosomal RNA", at positions 173 to 896 of the family's 1533-position model. The record is from RNAcentral.
AUAUGAGCCUUGAUCGCAUGAUCGGGGCUGGAAAGUUUUUCGGUUGAAGAUGACUUCGCGGCCUAUCAGCUUGUUGGUGAGGUAAUGGCUCACCAAGGCGACGACGGGUAGCCGGCCUGAGAGGGCGACCGGCCACACUGGGACUGAGACACGGCCCAGACUCCUACGGGAGGCAGCAGUGGGGAAUAUUGGGCAAUGGAGGAAACUCUGACCCAGCGACGCCGCGUGAGGGAUGAAGGCCUUCGGGUUGUAAACCUCUUUCAGUAGGGAAGAAGCGAAAGUGACGGUACCUACAGAAGAAGCACCGGCUAACUAUGUGCCAGCAGCCGCGGUAAUACAUAGGGUGCAAGCGUUGUCCGGAAUUAUUGGGCGUAAAGAGCUCGUAGGUGGUUCGAUACGUCGGAUGUGAAAAUCAGGGGCUCAACCCCUGACCUGCAUCCGAUACGGUCGAGCUAGAGUUUGGUAGGGGAGACUGGAAUUCCUGGUGUAGCGGUGGAAUGCGCAGAUAUCAGGAGGAACACCGAUGGCGAAGGCAGGUCUCUGGGCCAAUACUGACACUGAGGAGCGAAAGCGUGGGGAGCGAACAGGAUUAGAUACCCUGGUAGUCCACGCCGUAAACGGUGGGCGCUAGUUGUGCGAACCUUCCACGGUUUGUGCGACGCAGCUAACGCAUUAAGCGCCCCGCCUGGGGAGUACGAUCGCAAGAUUA